GCCAGACUCCUACGGGAGGCAGCAGUGGGGGAUAUUGCACAAUGGGGGAAACCCUGAUGCAGCGACGCCGCGUGAGUGAAGAAGUAUUUCGGUAUGUAAAGCUCUCUCAGCAGGGAAGAAAAAAGACGGUACCUGACUAAGAAGCCCCGGCUAACUACGUGCCAGCAGCCGCGGUAAUACGUAGGGGGCAAGCGUUAUCCGGAUUUACUGGGUGUAAAGGGAGCGUAGACGGCAAUACAAGUCGGAAGUGAAAUUCCCGGGCUCAACCUGGGAACUGCUUUGGAAACUGUAUGGCUGGAGUGCUGGAGAGGUAAGCGGAAUUCCUAGUGUAGCGGUGAAAUGCGUAGAUAUUAGGAGGAACACCAGUGGCGAAGGCGGCUUACUGGACAGUAACUGACGUUGAGGCUCGAAAGCGUGGGGAGCAAACAGGAUUAGAUACCCUCGUA
This 446-nucleotide ribosomal RNA is filed under the name uncultured bacterium. RNAcentral describes it as "bacterial SSU rRNA". It matches the Rfam family "Bacterial small subunit ribosomal RNA", at positions 330 to 792 of the family's 1533-position model. The record is from RNAcentral.